GAUCAUGGCUCAGGAUGAACGCUAGCGACAGGCUUAACACAUGCAAGUCGAGGGGCAGCAUGAUUUGUAGCAAUACAGAUUGAUGGCGACCGGCGCACGGGUGAGUAACGCGUAUCCAACCUGCCCAUCACUUGGGAAUAACCUUGCGAAAGUAAGACUAAUGCCCAAUGAUAUCCCACGAAGGCAUCCGAAUGUGAUUAAAGAUUUAUCGGUGAUGGAUGGGG
Molecule: ribosomal RNA, 224 nt
Filed under: uncultured bacterium
Lineage: Bacteria
Description: partial 16S ribosomal RNA
Rfam family: Bacterial small subunit ribosomal RNA
Source: RNAcentral